This 253-nucleotide ribosomal RNA is filed under the name uncultured bacterium. RNAcentral describes it as "partial 16S ribosomal RNA". It matches the Rfam family "Bacterial small subunit ribosomal RNA", at positions 524 to 776 of the family's 1533-position model. The record is from RNAcentral.
UACGUAGGGUGCAAGCGUUGUCCGGAAUUAUUGGGCGUAAAGCGCACGUAGGCGGUCCGAUAAGUCGGAUGUGAAAGCCCUGGGCUCAACCUAGGAAGUGCAUUCGAAACUGUCGGACUUGAGUACGGGAGAGGGUUGCGGAAUUCCCGGUGUAGCGGUGAAAUGCGUAGAUAUCUGGAGGAACACCGGUGGCGAAGGCGGCAUCCUGGACCGACACUGACGCUGAGGAGCGAAAGCCAGGGGAGCAAACGGG